UCAGGAUAGACUUGGAUGGAACGGAGCUGCUUUUACUGGGUAUUUCCCCGCGGGUACCCAAAUCUCCCAAGAAGACGCGGUCCACGCCAGCUUCACUCAUGUCUGAUCCGCGGAGAAGAGCGGCCACACUAUCCGUCGCUCUUCUGUCUGCAAACCAAAUAAUGUUGAUCUAUAUCAACUUUAAAUAAAUCAUAACCAUACAUUGCAGAUUUGUAUUAUCCGC
This 223-nucleotide unclassified non-coding RNA is filed under the name Melitaea cinxia (Glanville fritillary). RNAcentral's name for it is "misc RNA ENSMCXG00005013917.1". Lineage: Eukaryota; Metazoa; Arthropoda; Insecta; Lepidoptera; Nymphalidae. The record is from RNAcentral.